RNAcentral lists this non-coding RNA (21 nucleotides) under Mus musculus (house mouse). The record is from RNAcentral. Lineage: Eukaryota; Metazoa; Chordata; Mammalia; Rodentia; Muridae.
UGGGUCCUUGAGAUGUCCUGC